GAAAUGCGAUACGUAAUGCGAAUUGCAGAAUUCAGUGAAUCAUCGAAUCUUUGAACGCAAAUUGCGGUCCUGGGAUAUUCCUGAGACCAUGCCUCGUCGAGUAUCGGUUUUAACUAACCUCCACAGCGUGCUGAUUUAUUAGUACAAUGUGGGAAAUUGAGCGUGUCGGUGCUUAACUGACUCGCUUUAAAUUCAUAGAACUGUGUCCACAGCGAGUACGCUUGUUCAGUAGACAUUGAUAUUUUGCUUCGGCAAUAAAUCAUAUGUCGCUUACCUGGCAAGUCUGAAUUCGUUUGUUGGCUGUAUGUUCUCCAAUGAGAAUCUACUUUCUUGACGUUUUAGAUCGAAACCGCAAGGUGUCUCUUUAACUACGAGAAUUUCUAAACAAGAUCUCGACUGA
This 400-nucleotide unclassified non-coding RNA is filed under the name uncultured fungus. RNAcentral describes it as "sequence contains ITS1". The stretch from base 1 to 106 matches the Rfam family "5.8S ribosomal RNA", at positions 50 to 154 of the family's 154-position model. Lineage: Eukaryota; Fungi. The record is from RNAcentral.